UACGAAGGGGGCUAGCGUUGCUCGGAAUCACUGGGCGUAAAGGGUGCGUAGGCGGGUUUUUAAGUCAGGGGUGAAAUCCUGGAGCUCAACUCCAGAACUGCCUUUGAUACUGAAGAUCUUGAGUCCGGGAGAGGUGAGUGGAACUGCGAGUGUAGAGGUGAAAUUCGUAGAUAUUCGCAAGAACACCAGUGGCGAAGGCGGCGCACUGGCCCGGUACUGACGCUGAGGCACGAAAGCGUGGGGAGCAAACAGG
This 253-nucleotide ribosomal RNA is filed under the name uncultured bacterium. Its description in RNAcentral is "partial 16S ribosomal RNA". It matches the Rfam family "Bacterial small subunit ribosomal RNA", at positions 524 to 776 of the family's 1533-position model. The record is from RNAcentral.